Molecule: transfer RNA, 77 nt
Filed under: Paludifilum halophilum
Lineage: Bacteria; Bacillati; Bacillota; Bacilli; Caryophanales; Thermoactinomycetaceae
Description: tRNA-Met
Rfam family: tRNA
About the family: Transfer RNA (tRNA) molecules are approximately 80 nucleotides in length. Their secondary structure includes four short double-helical elements and three loops (D, anti-codon, and T loops).
Source: RNAcentral
CGCGGGGUGGAGCAGUUCGGUAGCUCGUCGGGCUCAUAACCCGAAGGUCACAGGUUCGAAUCCUGUCCCCGCAACCA